Calidris pygmaea (Spoon-billed sandpiper) is the source of this 2271-nucleotide long non-coding RNA. Lineage: Eukaryota; Metazoa; Chordata; Aves; Charadriiformes; Scolopacidae. The record is from Ensembl.
UCUGGUGGACUUUUAUGGAAAAAUUUGUAUUAUUUACCUCUAGAACUAUUUUUUGUAAUUUCAUCACCUUUUCUGAAAAUGAGGAUCUAUACUUCUUUACAAAGAAUGCUGGAGAAAUGGGCUGUCAGGAACUUCAUGAAGUUCAACAAGAAGUGCACAGUCCUGCACCUGGGGAGGCGCAACCUCAUGCACCAGUAUGUGCUGUGGGCUGCCCAGCUAGAAGGCAGCUUCUCAGAAAAAGGACCUAGGGGUCCUGGUGGAUACCAAGUUGAAGACGAGCCAGCAAUAUGCCCUUGUGGGGAGGAAAGAGAAAAAAAAAAAAAAAGCAUUUCAGACACAGUUCCUAAAUACAUGGGGAAAGCAGUAGUUCAAAUACCAUCUUCGUCAUCCAUUACUAAAUAAUCCCACAAAUCAAAGCUAUUUGGUGCAGAAAAAUAUGGAAUACAUUAUUUCAAUACAGGAAAGGCCUUGGGCUAUUAUUAAAAAUAUUGUGUAUUUUUCUAUCUUUUUGUUUUAAGACGAGCAUUCAAACAUCAUCCUGUAACUCAACAGGUAGCAUUCUAGAGAACAUUGCCAUUAAGAAGAGUGAAUUUCAGCCACGGCAUUUUCUUAGCACAACCACAUAAAAGAAAUGCGUCCAUCUACAACCAGAGAUUCAAGCCCAGGUAGGUCAUGUCUGUAAAGGCAUCAGCAAUAAGGUUUUAUUGCACCCUCUAGUGUCCGAGGACAGGCUUCUGUACGUUUAAAAGUGAUUAUCUUGUAAUCUCUUUCUCUAUUAAAUAAUUUUCCAUCAGCCACAGCCAAAGUCAGGACAUUAUGAUAAAAUACGUGAGGUGCAAGUGCUUUUUACCGAAAAAGCCUUUUCAUUUUUCCAUUUUUUCUCCAGACUCUACUAAAAUAGCAUUUAGUACUUUCACUGCAAGAUCAAAACCUUGAGUGACUGCUUCUGAAAAUAACCACUGAAGAGUUAUUCCAAAAAACACAACCUCGUAAUACUGUUAAGCCCAAGUCCAAACAGGUUUGAAAAAUGAGGUUAAGGUCUAAUCUAAAUUAGUUUUCCACAGCUGCAGAAAGAACUGCUGUUCCAGUGGAACAUAGCCACGUGGUUUCUUCUCUUUCAUGUUUAGAAACAGCAGUGUAUUGCCUACAUUUUAACAAAGAAGGAACGCAGGUAAUGCUACACAUCAGAAAUUUCUGUGCUACCUCUGUUUGCCCUGGACUUGAGAACCUUUCAAUCUCUCUCUUCUGCAAUGAGUAUUAAAUGCUCAUUCUACAAGUCAGAUGAUUCAAUAUGAAAUGAGGCUUUGUCAGUCCUACCUGAGAAGUGAAGUCAGAACAACUAUGCCGCCGUCUCAAUUAAUGAUGAAACAAAACAAAGCAGCUCCUCCAUAACAUUUUACCACCACUCAUAUAUUUUUCUAUAUGCAUAUUUUUGAAAUAUGCAUAUAGAAUGCAUAUAUGCAUUUCUAUAUGCAUAUUUUUGAAAAGAAAAGCAUAUUUUUCUAUCACUCAGGAGCAGUAAGGUGUUUGAUAAGAAGUUGUGCCAUGAAGAACACCAUUUUAUUAAUUUAAUCAUGUGAUAGUAAAUAUUUCAGAUUAAGAAGCUUAAGAAUAACACAAUAUGAUACUCUUGUGCUUUAAACACUGGUCUUCAGUAACGAAUGGUAGUGCUGCUAUAUCAGUAGAGAGUGGUUUUAAGCUCAUACUAUCCAGUAUUUUAAGCAGCCAUUUAUAGCAUUGUUCUUUUAAAGUGUGAAACCUUUUCACAUCAAGUAACAGUGGCUUUGUUUUAUGUUCAUGCUGCAGAGGUUCAGUGCAACAUGGAAUCUCACACUUUGGAAAACUCUCGCAUCAACUGCGGAUUUACUGCUAUUCUUCAUAUUUACUAUAUUACUAUUCUAUGUGACAGCUAUAAAAUUUAGAUAAACAAAAGCAAACGCAAACAUAUCCAGUCAUAUUACUACAAAAUAAGAGACAGGACAGGCCUUAUUCUCACACGUAGCUGAAUUUAAGUUUGCAUCCAUGUAAGUGUAAAUGGAACUGGGUUUCUGAAGACAAGAUGGAGGAAGGGUUAUAAAAUCUCCCACACAGCUGAUAUAAAACUGUAAUCUGUUCUCCUCGAUUCUAUUCUAAGGAGUGCUUUUCAGUUUCGGUGUUUUUUGUAGAAAAUGCUUCAGAAAUUGUACAAGCCUGACAUUUCUUGUGUUAACGUAUUUCAGAUAAAAGAAUGCUUCUAAAAAUAAAAACAUCAUCACAUAGUAUACCUUUGCA